Molecule: ribosomal RNA, 498 nt
Filed under: uncultured bacterium
Lineage: Bacteria
Description: partial 16S ribosomal RNA
Rfam family: Bacterial small subunit ribosomal RNA
Source: RNAcentral
GACGAACGCUGGCGGCAUGCCUAAUACAUGCAAGUUGAACGAUGAUAUUCUCUGCUUGCAGAGAAUUGAAGAGUAGCGAACGGGUGAGUAACACGUGGGGAACCUGCCCAUGAGAGGGGGAUAACAUUCGGAAACGGAUGCUAAUACCGCAUAAUGCUUUGGACCGCCUGGUCCAGAGACGAAAGACGGCUUUUGCUGUUACUUAUGGAUGGCCCCGCGCCGUAUUAGCUAGUUGGUGAGGAAAUGGCUCACCAAAGCUGGGAUACGUAGCCGACCUAAGAGGGUUGUCGGCCACACUGGGACUUGGACGCGGCCCAGACUCCUACGGGACGCAGCAGUAGGCACUCUUCCACAGUGGGCGAAAACCUGAUGGAGCAAUGCCACGUGAAUGAAGAAGAUCUUCGGAUCGUAAAGUUCUGUUAUUAGUGAAGAACAAGUCAAGGAGUAGCUGUCUUGACUUUGACGGUACCUAACCCGAAAGUCACGGCUCACUACGUG